AAAUGAGUAAACGUAGGAUUUAAAAUGAAUCAUCUGGAUAUCUUGGCGUAUUUUGACGCAUUUAAUUUGGUGUAAGUGCAUUUCAGAAAUACUUCCUAUUAAAAUAUAUAUAUAUAUAUAUAGGGAAAACAUCUGGAACGGCCCGUCCGCACGGUGAUCACCGUGCGGACACCGUCCAUUCCGAUUUUCGCCAUCGUUCAUUCCGAUCACCGUUCAUUCCAGAACCGAUUCCGCGAGCAGAGGAUGGAGCAGAGGUUCCGCGAGGGAGCGAUGGGUUCCGCGAGGAUGGAGCAUGGUUUCCGAUUGCGCUAGGAUGGAGCAUGGGUUCAUUCCAGAACCGAUUCCGCGAGCAGAGGUUCCGCGAGGGAGCGAUGGGUUCCGCGAGGAUGGGUUCCGAUUGCGCGAGGAUGGAGCAUGGGUUCAUUCCAGAACCGAUUGCGCGAGCAGAGGAUGGAGCAUGGGUUCCGCGAGGGAGCGAUGGGUUCCGAUUCCGCGAGCAGAGGUUCCGCGAGCAUGAGGAUGGAGCAUGGGUUCCGCGAGGGAGCCAUGGGUUCCGAUUGCGCGAGCAGAGGUUCCGCGAGGGAGCGAGGAUGGAGCAUGGGUUCCGAUUGCGCGAGGAUGGAGCAUGGGUUCAUUCCAGAACCGAUUCCGCGAGCAUGAGGAUGGAGCAUGGGUUCCGCGAGGGAGCCAUGGGUUCCGAUUGCGCGAGCAGAGGUUCCGCGAGGGAGCGAGGAUGGAGCAUGGGUUCCGAUUGCGCGAGGAUGGAGCAUGGGUUCAUUCCAGAACCGAUUCCGCGAGCAGAGGAUGGAGCAUGGGUUCCGCGAGGGAGCGAUGGGUUCCGAUUCCGCGAGCAGAGGUUCCGCGAGCAUGAAGUCCCUUAUUUAAAGAUCGGACGGUGGAGGGCAGGGUACCGUCAGGAGCGACCGUGCGAACAGGGUCGUUCCUGAUCUGUACUGUAUAUAUAUAUAUAUAUAUGCUUCUAGAACCCUUAUUUAAAAUGAUUUUUAGGGGUAUUUUGGUAACUUUAUAUCUGAAAAGUCGGUCAUGACACUCAAUUCCAC
This 1061-nucleotide long non-coding RNA is filed under the name Zostera marina. RNAcentral describes it as "long non-coding RNA (ZMAR_LNC000744)". The record is from RNAcentral. Lineage: Eukaryota; Viridiplantae; Streptophyta; Magnoliopsida; Alismatales; Zosteraceae.